GCCUUGGUAGAUCAAUGGGCAGAUCAUUCCUACUGUUUACUUGCGGGUGUACUAGGGGAAGCCGAAGGUUCGAAUCCUCCCAGAGGCA
Mycena rebaudengoi is the source of this 88-nucleotide non-coding RNA. NCBI's taxonomy places the organism in Eukaryota, Fungi, Basidiomycota, Agaricomycetes, Agaricales, Mycenaceae. The record is from the annotation of a GenBank genome assembly.